Molecule: long non-coding RNA, 209 nt
Filed under: Rosa chinensis
Lineage: Eukaryota; Viridiplantae; Streptophyta; Magnoliopsida; Rosales; Rosaceae
Description: sRNA RchiOBHm_Chr7g0237861
Source: RNAcentral
GGACGAAGUAGACGCGGAGGACGUAGACCAAGGCCACGCCGAGGGUUGCAAGCCAGCUGUGGAGGACGUGCGGCGUCGUUUUGUCGAGCAGGUGCUGGUAUCGGUGCGACACGCCGAAGCUCCACGCCUGGACGGCGUCGAGCGGAGAUCCUCCGAGACGACGGGUCCUCCGCCGACAACGACGACGCGGCGAGACCCACUCCCGCCGC